GAUGAAGAACGUAGCGAAAUGCGAUAAGUAAUGUGAAUUGCAGAAUUCAGUGAAUCAUCGAAUCUUUGAACGCACAUUGCGCCCGCCAGCAUUCUGGCGGGCAUGCCUGUUCGAGCGUCAUUUCAACCCUCAAGCUCUGCUUGGUGUUGGGGCCCUACGGUUGACGUAGGCCCUUAAAGGUAGUGGCGGACCCUCUCGGAGCCUCCUUUGCGUAGUAACUAACGUCUCGCAUUGGGAUUCGGAGGGACUCUUGCCGUAAAACCCCCAAAUUUUCUAAUGGUUGACCUCGGAUCAGGUAGGAAUACCCGCUGAACUUAAGCAUAUCAAUAAGGGAGG
This 336-nucleotide unclassified non-coding RNA is filed under the name soil metagenome. Its description in RNAcentral is "partial contains 5.8S ribosomal RNA, internal transcribed spacer 2, and large subunit ribosomal RNA". The stretch from base 1 to 120 matches the Rfam family "5.8S ribosomal RNA", at positions 35 to 154 of the family's 154-position model. The record is from RNAcentral.